UGCGACUGGUUUCCCAGGUUUCACUGGGUUUAAGGGAUCUCCUGGUGCACCAGGAACUAAUGGGGCUCUGGGUCGGCCUGGUCCGGUUGGACCUAAAGGUGAAGUGGGACCAAAGGGAGAGAAGGGAAGGAGAGGCAGAGGAAAGGCCUGUCAACGGGGACCUCCUGGAAUUCCUGGCCUCGGAGGCCUGGAUGGGGAAGUGGGAACCUCAGGCAUGAAAGGAGAAAAAGGGGAGACUGGACUCAGUGUGGAGGAAGUGAAGGAUCUUGUGACAAAGGAGGUGGUUGAGAAGUGUGGAAAGGAAAUACUCCUGAUGGUGAACACCAAUGAUCCAGAUGAAGAGAGUAUCCUAAGGGAAGAGAGAAGAACAGAUUCUGCCUCUCCGUUCUUGCUCACCCACCCCAAAGUGUGGGAUGAAGAGUCAGAGGACGAGACCACUUCAGUUCAUCCUGCUGUUUCAGAGUCUGAGCCAACAUUAGCAUAUGGC
Molecule: long non-coding RNA, 487 nt
Filed under: Sinocyclocheilus grahami
Lineage: Eukaryota; Metazoa; Chordata; Actinopteri; Cypriniformes; Cyprinidae
Description: lncRNA (ENSSGRG00000026205.1)
Source: RNAcentral